RNAcentral lists this ribosomal RNA (182 nucleotides) under Escherichia coli. Its description in RNAcentral is "partial 16S ribosomal RNA". It matches the Rfam family "Bacterial small subunit ribosomal RNA", at positions 1 to 176 of the family's 1533-position model. Lineage: Bacteria; Pseudomonadati; Pseudomonadota; Gammaproteobacteria; Enterobacterales; Enterobacteriaceae. The record is from RNAcentral.
AAAUUGAAGAGUUUGAUCAUGGCUCAGAUUGAACGCUGGCGGCAGGCCUAACACAUGCAAGUCGAACGGUAACAGAAAGAAGCUUGCUUCUUUGCUGACGAGUGGCGGACGGGUGAGUAAUGUCUGGGAAACUGCCUGGUGGAGGGGGAUAACUACUGGAAACGGUAGCUAAUACCGCAUAA